Lycium ferocissimum is the source of this 3274-nucleotide RNA transcript. RefSeq lists it as uncharacterized. NCBI's taxonomy places the organism in Eukaryota, Viridiplantae, Streptophyta, Magnoliopsida, Solanales, Solanaceae. The record is from RefSeq and is a predicted model, not a curated record. The transcript is spliced from 5 exons.
AUAGCACCUUUUUUUUAUAUUUAGCCAAUUGAUUUUGUGUCUGUUUAGUUUGGUUCCUUCUUGCAAUGGAAAGAUUAUGAACUUGGGGAGUUUCAGAAAGGUUAUGAACUUGCAAGAUAGCACCUUUUUUUAUUGUUAGAGAUGGCACCUUUUUUAUGUUAUCCAAUAAAGAUGUUGUGUCUGUUUAGUUUGCAUCCUUCUUGCAGUUUCUUGAUUUAGUGUUGGAAAGUUCUGAUUUAGUGAGAAAAAACAAUAAAAGGGAAAAGGAAAUAAAAAGACAAAAGAAUAGAUGGAAAGAUUAUGAACAUGUGGAGUUUCAGAGAGAUGAUACUUUGUACUCAUUUCCUUAAAAUAAUUUAGGAUUUUACAAUUAGAUUUUAAGAACUUGUAAUGUUUGUGUGGGGGAGAGGUAUGUAGAGAGUUUGGCUUGAGAAGUAAAGCAAAAAGAAGGUCCAUUGGAGAGUGCCGAGCAGCGUGGGAAGAGAGAACGUUUGUGUUAGUUAUCAGAUAGCCGAUCUCCUUAGCUACACCUACAAUUGUAUUUCUGUUUGAAAACAAAUUUGAAAGAUCCUUUAGUUGUUCAUUUAGGUCUUUCAUGAAAAGAACUUAAUAAAACUUCCACUGAGUCAAUAGCUCCUUUAAGUACAUAACAGGAACUUACAUGAUGUAAUUGAAAGUUAACAUUCAUUUUUAGGUGCUUAAUAAAUCAAUCAUUGCUAUUCACUUGAUUGCUUGCUCUUCUUUGGAUGAACCUGGAUAUAAGAGGAAUGUAGGAAUUUUUUAACCAACACAUGCUUUGUUUCAGGUGAUGGUAGAAAGAUAGUAUUUUGAUACGACAACUAUAGAGGUCACCUACUUGUGUUUGUAGCGCCCCGACAUCUAUUUGUCACUGUUAUUUAUAAAAUUACUUUUUACCUAUUAAAAAACCUUCUCUUUAUACAUUAUUUAAUGUGUUCCUUAUCCUGUAUCACUUGGUUCUCUCUUUUUGAUCAGAGGUCCAAUUUAACUGCUUCUUCAAACCUAUGUGUUGCCACAAAUAGUUUUAUGUUGAAAUAUCUUACAUAGAACUAUCUAAUGCUACUUCAUGCUACGAUGUAUCUACGAGUAGAUUCUUCGAGUCAUUUAUGUAUAAUUUAGCAACUCAUGAUGCUCCAUUUUGACAAUAUUAUCGAUCAUAUCGUGCAAAGUAUUAAAAUAAAGAUACUUUUUUUUUUUUUUGUUAACGAAACGUAAAUAGUGAAGUUGAUACACUUAACAGGAACUUGCCUUGACUAUUUCUUGUGUGUGCCCUUUUUCAAUAAUUUGCAAGGUACUGAAAAGCAAAUAUGUACUGUACAAGUAGAAUGUUACAUCUUCUUGAGCAUCCUUCUUUCGUUUUCUUCUUUUGGUUUUUUUUUUUUUUUUUGUGUGCAAGUUGUUUGAGUUGUGUUAACAUUUGAUGUCUUCCUUUUUUUGAGCCAAUCGAUGGUUUGGGAUUGUGUAUCUUUUGAGAUACAUGAAUGGAAAGACUUUGUUUUUAACUUAGUAGAUCAUCCCUUUCACUAAAACAUACACACAUCUUGAAUAAAUUGAUUCCUUGCAAUUUGUGGCUUAUAUACCUGACAGUACUAUUGUAAAUAAAGUUAUACAGUUGGCAGACACAUGGCACCAAGAUUAAACAUCGAUCAAAUAACAACCGAGACGCCAGAUUGGACUUCCAAAGUCCAAAUCAUUGACAUGAGGCGUGAGCGAGAAAGUCCUGAGAAGAAAAUCAAAUUCCAAAAUUUAAUUUUGGAAGAUGAAGAGGAGCAACAAAUUAGGGCCGUUGUGUAUGGUGAUGAUAUUGGCCAUUAUGCAGAGAAGCUUCAAAUCUCGCAGACAUAUCUGAUUUCCGCCGCAAGAGUUUGAGUUUCGCCCACUUUAUACGGCAAACCAAUACACAAGUUUUAUUGCGUAUUCGAUAAAGAAACUAUAAUUGAACAUAUUAAGCCAACUGACGAGCAUGAGAAACCACUCACCAUCAACUAAGCUGAAUAUCACAACUUUGGAUCACAUUGCUCAUAUGACUCCUCAUUCUUCUGUCGAAAUUGGUAUACCACUCCUACCAAUUACUAGCAUGAUAAAUUAUAUAUGCUUAUAGAUGUACGCACUCAUUAUAUUACCUUAUAUCUUACUAGCAGAUAGACUAGGAGUCGUCCUACGUUGUGGCCCUCCAAAAUAUGCAGGUCUCAAUCAAAACAGGUGCUGAGAGAUUAUUGUUUAUUUAAUCAGUAAGUACACCAUUCAUUUCAAAUUAUAUGCCCUUAUUUUCCUUCGGAAGUAUAUGCAUAUCCUUACGAUAGAUGCUUAAAAAAUUAGUAUUAUAUUCCCCACACUCUCAGGAAAAAACAGUUUCUACUCACUUUAUGGGAAGACUUCGGGAAAUUGAAGGGACUGAGCUCUAAGCUAAAAUGGGAAAGGAUGAAGAAUUCCCAGUAAUCCUCGGAAGGAAUAUAGGAAUAUCUUCUUUUCAGGGUAUGCACAUAGUCAAAUAUUUUACUUACAUAUUUUUAUUUAAUACAACAUUACACAUACAUUGUGCCAUACAGGUUUAUCGCUGCAAAUUAGAUUCAACUCAACAAUACACAUAAAUCCUGCUUACCCACAGGCGUUCGAGCUUAUCAACUGGUACUGACUUAUCAACUUUACUUUUUAACUUGCCCCUGAACAACAUAUUGAAUACUUUAUUUGGUGUGACAAUAGGGCAAAAACAAACACACACAUGCUUUCGAGUUAUGCAUCAGCCAACUUCUCUGCGACAUCAACGUCUCUCUCAGUAACUCCCACUCAGCAGCAAGUUAUCCCCAUUGCAGAAAUUUCAACACAAACUUCGAUUGGAGUUUUCUAUGUUCAGGCCGAAAUGUUUAUUUCAAAUGACCUGCAGAAAUUUUGUGUGCUUGAAUGUUCAGGAUACAAACAAAAAAAGCGCACGAAAGAAAGAAGAGAAUUUGCAUGCACAAAGUAGAUUCAAUUACGACAGUAAUUUCUGGAGAUAUAGCUGAGAAGAUGCUUUCCAUGAUAGCAGAACAUAUAUUUGAAAUAACUUUGGUCAAGAAUCAACUCCUGCCCAUUGACCAUGUUCAUAAGAUGUUGUCGGUUAAACUGUUCCUAAUUCAAUUAAAAAAGUCAUCCUGGAGAAGCUCAAACGACACACAAACAACUGUAUCAAUUCUGUCCUAUGUAGAAAGGGAACCUAUCUUUCCACCUAGCAUUAAUCAAAGGAACACCAAAAAAAAAUGAAGCCUCUAAGUACAAG